Molecule: ribosomal RNA, 488 nt
Filed under: uncultured bacterium
Lineage: Bacteria
Description: partial 16S ribosomal RNA
Rfam family: Bacterial small subunit ribosomal RNA
Source: RNAcentral
GAUGAACGCUGGCGGCGUGCUUAACACAUGCAAGUCGAACGGAGAAGAGCAGAGUACUUGUACAAGGCUUUUCUUAGUGGCGGACGGGCGAGUAACGCGUGAGCAACCUACCUUUAACUGGGGAACAACAACGGGAAACUGUUGCUAAUACCGCAUAAAGUACCGAGAUGACAUCAUCAUGGUACCAAAGAAGCAAUUCGGUUAGAGAUGGGCUCGCGUCUGAUUAGAUAGUUGGUGAGGUAACGGCGCACCAAGGCUACGAUCAGUAGCCGGACGUAGAGUGCGGUCGGCCGCAUUGGGACUGAGACACGGCCCAGACUCCUACGGGAGGCAGCAGUGAGGAAUAUUGGGCAAUGGGCGCAAGCCUGACCCAGCAACGCCGCGUGAAGGAAGAAGGCUUUCGGGUUGUAAACUUCUUUUAUAAGUGAGGAAUAUGACGGUAACUUAUGAAUAAGGAUCGGCUAACUACGUGCCAGCCGCCGCGGUAA